GGCCAGACUCCUACGGGAGGCAGCAGUGAGGAAUAUUGGUCAAUGGGCGGGAGCCUGAACCAGCCAUGCCGCGUGAAGGCGAGUGCCCUACGGGCGUUAAACUUCUUUUGUGCGGGAGCAAUAAGGGCCACGCGUGGCCCGAUGAGAGUACCGCACGAAUAAGCAUCGGCUAACUCCGUGCCAGCAGCCGCGGUAAUACGGGGGAUGCGAGCGUUAUCCGGAUUUAUUGGGUUUAAAGGGUGCGUAGGCGGCGCUUCAGGUCAGCGGUGAAAUACCGGGGCUCAACCCCGGGGCUGCCGUUGAAACCGGAGCGCUAGAAUUCCGAUGCCGUCGGAGGAAUGUGUGGUGUAGCGGUGAAAUGCAUAGAUAUCACACAGAACACCGAUUGCGAAGGCAUCUCACGAAUCCGCGAUUGACGCUGAUGCACGAAAGCGUGGGUAUCAAACAGGAUUAGAUACCCCAGUA
Molecule: ribosomal RNA, 465 nt
Filed under: uncultured bacterium
Lineage: Bacteria
Description: bacterial SSU rRNA
Rfam family: Bacterial small subunit ribosomal RNA
Source: RNAcentral